GAGGCCAUUUACCCACAGAGGGUGCCAGGCCCGUAUAACAUUAAUGAUUACUAGAAGAUGUUUCUAAAGAGUCGUGUUGCUUGAUAGUGCAGCACUAAGUUGGUGGUAAACUCCAUCUAAAACUAAAUAUGACCCAUGAGACCGAUAGCAAACAAGUACCGUGAGGGAAAGUUGAAAAGAACUCUGAAUAGAGAGUUAAAUAGUACGUGAAACUGCUUAGAGAUUAAACCCGAUGAACCUGAAUAUCCAAUAUGGGGAAUUCAUCAUUAUAAUAUUAAAAUACUAUUUUAAUAUAAUGGUGUGCAUUUUCCCUAUAUAAAUGGACAUUGUAAUCUAUUAAUAUAUAUUUAUAUAUUUAUCAUAAGAUCAUGAGCAUCUGUUUAUUUUAAUUAAUUUGUUUCGGCAUAUUUAUAUUUAAUAAAAGUUUUUGAUUUGAUAAAGUAUUGAUAGAUCAAUUAUGUAUAGUGCAUAAAUUACUUUUGAAAUUUUAUAAUAAUAAUAUUUAUUAUUAUUAUUAUAAGCACUAAUACGAUUUACAAUGCGAAAGAUUCAGGAAACCUUCGGGACCCGUCUUGAAACACGGACCAAGGAGUCUAACAUAUGUGCAAGUUUUUGGGUUAUUAAUAAAAAAACCUAAAAGCAUAAAUAACAUAACUUUUUAUAUAUAUGGGAUUAAUUUUUAUUAUUUAAUUUUAAUAUUAAUUCAAUCCCGGGGCGUUCUAUAUAGUUAUGUAUAAAUGAUAUUUAUAUCAUUUUUACCUCUAACUAGAGCGUACCUUGAGCAUAAAUGCUGUGACCCGAAAGAUGGU
Molecule: ribosomal RNA, 809 nt
Filed under: Cerodontha capitata
Lineage: Eukaryota; Metazoa; Arthropoda; Insecta; Diptera; Agromyzidae
Description: eukaryotic LSU rRNA
Rfam family: Eukaryotic large subunit ribosomal RNA
Source: RNAcentral